This 450-nucleotide ribosomal RNA is filed under the name uncultured bacterium. RNAcentral describes it as "bacterial SSU rRNA". It matches the Rfam family "Bacterial small subunit ribosomal RNA", at positions 328 to 795 of the family's 1533-position model. The record is from RNAcentral.
AAGCCAGACUCCUACGGGAGGCAGCAGUGGGGAAUAUUGCACAAUGGGGGGAACCCUGAUGCAGCGACGCCGCGUGGGUGAAGGAGUACUUCGGUACGUAAAGCCCUAUCAGCAGGAAAGAAAAUGACGGUACCUGACUAAGAAGCCCCGGCUAACUACGUGCCAGCAGCCGCGGUAAUACGUAGGGGGCAAGCGUUAUCCGGAUUUACUGGGUGUAAAGGGAGCGUAGACGGCAGUGCAAGUCCGGAGUGAAAGCCCGGGGCUCAACCCUGGGACUGCUCUGGAAACUGUAAAGCUGGAGUGCGGGAGGGGCAGGCGGAAUUCCUGGUGUAGCGGUGAAAUGCGUAGAUAUCAGGAGGAACACCGGCGGCGAAGGCGGCCUGCUGGACCGUAACUGACGUUAAGGCUCGAAAGCGUGGGGAGCAAACAGGAUUAGAUACCCCGGUACAC